Molecule: transfer RNA, 83 nt
Filed under: Lutibacter litoralis
Lineage: Bacteria; Pseudomonadati; Bacteroidota; Flavobacteriia; Flavobacteriales; Flavobacteriaceae
Also listed under: 3 other names
Description: tRNA-Leu
Rfam family: tRNA
About the family: Transfer RNA (tRNA) molecules are approximately 80 nucleotides in length. Their secondary structure includes four short double-helical elements and three loops (D, anti-codon, and T loops). Further hydrogen bonds mediate the characteristic L-shaped molecular structure. tRNAs have two regions of fundamental functional importance: the anti-codon, which is responsible for specific mRNA codon recognition, and the 3' end, to which the tRNAs corresponding amino acid is attached (by aminoacyl-tRNA synthetases). tRNAs cope with the degeneracy of the genetic code in two manners: having more than one tRNA (with a specific anti-codon) for a particular amino acid; and 'wobble' base-pairing, i.e. permitting non-standard base-pairing at the 3rd anti-codon position.
Source: RNAcentral
GCGGGCGUGGUGGAAUUGGUAGACACGCUAGACUUAGGAUCUAGUGCCGCAAGGUGUGAGAGUUCGAGUCUCUCCGCCCGCAC